GGACAGGAGGGCAAUCUGGCCACAAUGUCUGUUACCUCACUGAUGACCAAAGUUGAUUUGGAUAAUCUGACUGGCUAGGUGGGUGUCCCUUUCCUCCCUCACUACUCCAUGUGUGUCCCUCCAGAAACUGAUGCUCAGUCAAAGUGGAUGACCUUCCCAGAUUAAGGAGGACUAUUCUUGUUGGAGUGGCUUAAGUGCUAGAGUGCCCACCUAACAAGUGCGAGAUCAAGUCCAACCCCCAGUACUGUCAAAAUGUGUGUGUGUGUGUGUGUGU
RNAcentral lists this small RNA (274 nucleotides) under Castor canadensis (American beaver). Its description in RNAcentral is "7SK RNA (ENSCCNG00000023051.1)". The stretch from base 1 to 198 matches the Rfam family "7SK RNA". Rfam says of the family: 7SK was discovered as an abundant small nuclear RNA in the mid-70s but a possible function has only recently been suggested. Two independent studies have found that 7SK RNA binds the CDK9/cyclin T complex (known as elongation factor P-TEFb). The record is from RNAcentral. Lineage: Eukaryota; Metazoa; Chordata; Mammalia; Rodentia; Castoridae.